AGGCUGAGCUAGUCGCCCUGGAGACGGGUUGUUUUGAACCCCACUCGACUCUCCAAGUUCUCGCGCUCCCACACGAAACUAAACAGGCUGUUCUUCACAUGAGCCACACGGAUCUGAACUUUACACGGAAAAAACAGGCCUUAUUUGAACAGGAAUAAAAAGCCCAUCGUACAAAGCGGUCUCCCGGGACACCGAAGAAUAUGCCUACUUGCGGGGGCUCGGGGAGAUCGUUAACACCGACAAUAAUACUAUUCCACUCUACUUUUUUGUAAAUAAAUAUCCUGCAAACGCGCGCGAAUCUCAGUAACGUUACGUUACUUAACAAAAAACAAAUUUUCCGGUGACUACAAAAACAACCACAGAUUAGCUACCUGAUAAACAACUAAAGGGACCACAAAUACAAUAUUAUCAUAUCAUCAAAAGCAGCGAGCGUUAAAAUAGUUAACAUUAACACAAUAAGGUAAUCUGCAUAAUUUAUUCAGUCCGCGGGGCAUCGGGAACUCAAGUAGGGGGACUAUGGUAAUAUUGUUAUCCACCGACUCCACACGUUGAUCAAAAGCGCAUAAAUGCUUUGGUUCUUGCUUGCUGUUUAGUGAUUAAAGCAGUUUUGAAUGAUUGAAACAGUAAGGUCUGUCUCCUAAAGUUUUCUCGUGAUGACCAGCAACAUAAAAAAAAAGAAAUCUACUAUAUAAUCUAAAUUAUUUCACAAAUUAUUUCUUAAUUAUUUUGAGUUAUUUGUAUAGUUAUUUUAAUUUUACUUAGGCCUAUGUUUGAACUUUUUGGCUUUUGCACAGCUUUUGUUGCACUAAAUAUAGAUUUACACACUUUUACUGACUGUAAUGUCAAUUUUUAUUAAAUUUCAAGGAGUGUUCUGCAAUGUCACAUGCUUGCAGUGGUUGUAUGGAUGAUUUGAUUAA
Carassius gibelio (silver crucian carp) is the source of this 917-nucleotide long non-coding RNA. RefSeq lists it as uncharacterized. The transcript is spliced from 2 exons. NCBI's taxonomy places the organism in Eukaryota, Metazoa, Chordata, Actinopteri, Cypriniformes, Cyprinidae. The record is from RefSeq and is a predicted model, not a curated record.